Molecule: ribosomal RNA, 552 nt
Filed under: uncultured bacterium
Lineage: Bacteria
Description: bacterial SSU rRNA
Rfam family: Bacterial small subunit ribosomal RNA
Source: RNAcentral
ACCCAAUAGAUACCCGGGUAGUCCACGCCCUAAACGAUGUCAACUGGUUGUUGGGGGAGUGAAAUCCCUUAGUAAACGAAAGCUAAACGCGUGAAAGUUGACCGCCUGGGGAGUACGGUCGCAAGAUUAAAACUCAAAGGAAUUGACGGGGACCCGCACAAGCGGUGGAUGAUGUGGAUUAAUUCGAUGCAACGCGAAAAAACCUUACCUACCCUUGACAUGUCCAGAACCCUGAAGAGAUUUGGGGGUGCCCGAAAGGGAAUUGGAACACAGGUGCUGCAUGGCUGUCGUCAGCUCGUGUCGUGAGAUGUUGGGUUAAGUCCCGCAACGAGCGCAACCCUUAUCAUUAGUUGCUACGCAAGGGCACUCUAAUGAGACUGCCGGUGACAAACCGGAGGAAGGUGGGAUGACGUCAAGUCCUCAUGGCCCUUAUGGGUAGGGCUUCACACGUCAUACAAUGGUCGGUACAGAGGUUGCCAAGCCGCGAGGUGGAGCCAAUCCCAGAAACGCCGAUCGUAGUCCGGAUUAUUCUCUGCAACUCGAGAGCAUGAA